UGUGGCUCUUAGUGGAGCAGUUUCAGUUCUGGUUGUAACUGGGAAUGCCAAAUAAGAGCCAACAGUGAACUUUCCCAUAGCUAUUGCAUUACUGCAUGCAGUGGUGCUGUUAUGCAGCUUUACUGGGAUGAACAAAG
Small nucleolar RNA from Erpetoichthys calabaricus (reedfish), 137 nucleotides. Lineage: Eukaryota; Metazoa; Chordata; Cladistia; Polypteriformes; Polypteridae. The record is from Ensembl.